Xenopus tropicalis (tropical clawed frog) is the source of this 906-nucleotide long non-coding RNA. RefSeq lists it as uncharacterized. The record is from RefSeq and is a predicted model, not a curated record. NCBI's taxonomy places the organism in Eukaryota, Metazoa, Chordata, Amphibia, Anura, Pipidae. The transcript has 6 exons.
UUGAUUGUACAAUCGGCAUUCAUUGAAUUCCCCACUCCUGAAAGCGUUCACAAAUUUCCUGACCCAUACAUUGGGUGUGACUAGGUACAAGCAGGAGGUGGAAGAUGUGGCGAGGUUCCUGUAUUUUAUGAACCCACAAGAUGCCAAUUUGGCAUUUGUAAAAGACCUCCAAAGGACCAAUGAGUUUUUCUCAAAACUGCAAGAGAUUGUCACGCACCAGACCUUGUUCAACUAUUUGAAGCAUGUGAGGUGAUGUGUAAACUUCCAGAUAGACAACACAAAUUUGUUCUCAUCUGAUCCAUCUAUAUACAAUGCCUGCAACAACUUUAUCAAAGCCACCGACGCCCUUAAAAAAAGUCUCAGUAAGGGAAUAUCGUGGGAAGUUGUCAAGAAAAGGUACGCUUCCUUGACCCAUAUAAUGAGGCUAUUGUCCACAGCAAAAGCCACAUUUUUGAAAGCCCUGGAUGCCGCUAAAAAAGACGAUAUAGAUAACAUAAAAUUUGAGAUCGUACAUUACUUGGAGGCAUUGCUGGUUCUGAAGCACUUGCAGAGACCAGGGGUUGUACAGAAUAUGUCAGUCACCGAAUGAAAAACGGUUUGAUAUGUUUGAUUGUCAUUGGAGUAGCAGAGCACAAGACAGCAACGCAACAAGUGGCCGAUUUCGCAUUGACAGAGGAGGAAAAAUGUGGUUCGAUGUGUAUUAUCAACAUGUGAGACCAAGACUGGUGCAUGACAACUCCCCCACUGACAUUUUUUUUCAAGUGGGAAGAUGAUUCCUAAUGUUUCAAAUGACCUGUGGCGUUACCACCGAAGGUCCUACCGGGAGAAAACACUCGAUGACAUAUGCCACGCGUAUCUGCUGGUCUCUGGGGCAGGUGCAGACAGCAGUCAGUCAAGCAGGCACCU